GGAAGUACACCUCAGUGGUAGAGCAUGUGCUUAGUGUGCACGAGGUCCUGGGUUCAAUCCCCAGCACCUCCC
This 72-nucleotide transfer RNA is filed under the name Camelus bactrianus (Bactrian camel). It matches the Rfam family "tRNA". From Rfam's summary of the family: Transfer RNA (tRNA) molecules are approximately 80 nucleotides in length. The record is from Rfam by way of RNAcentral. RNAcentral also lists the same sequence under 2 other names. Lineage: Eukaryota; Metazoa; Chordata; Mammalia; Artiodactyla; Camelidae.